UCAGCUGUUUUGCAAAAACAUGGCUCCUUGAAAUAUGUGUAUAAGGAGUCGGACCUGCCCAGUGAAAAAUUUUAACGGCCGCGGUACUCUGACCGUGCAAAGGUAGCAUAAUCACUUGCCUUAUAAUUGAAGGCUAGUAUGAAUGGUUUGACGAAAGCAUAGCUGUCUCUUUUCCACUUUAUAAAAAUUAACUUUCAGGUGAAGAGGCCUGUUUAAGAUUGAAGGACGAGAAGACCCUGUCGAGCUUUAAGAAAACAAGGAAAACCUUAUACUUGUAGAUAUAGAACCUUUUUUAUCUUUUGGUUGGGGCGACUAGGGAACAAAAAGAGCUUCCCCUAAUUAUUAAACUUCUUUGUCAGGAUCCAGUAUUUUCUGAUUAAAAGAAUUAGUUACCGCAGGGAUAACAGCAUAAUCCUUUUUGAGAGAUCUUAUCGAAAAAAGGGGUUGUGACCUCGAUGUUGGACUAGGGUAUCCUGAAGGUGCAGAAGCCUUUAACGGUUGGUCUGUUCGACCAUUAAAACCCUACAUGAUCUGAGUUCAGACCGGCA
RNAcentral lists this ribosomal RNA (548 nucleotides) under Clypeomorus brevis. RNAcentral's name for it is "partial 16S ribosomal RNA". It matches the Rfam family "Bacterial large subunit ribosomal RNA", at positions 1796 to 2621 of the family's 2925-position model. The record is from RNAcentral. Lineage: Eukaryota; Metazoa; Mollusca; Gastropoda; Cerithiidae.